CCGGACCAGUGUCCAGGGUCUGUCCCCACCCUGACGUGCGUCGCGGGUAACUGCGGGGUGCGGAGCUCAGGGGGUCAAGCCCAAGGGUGC
Actinobacteria bacterium OK006 is the source of this 90-nucleotide non-coding RNA. Lineage: Bacteria; Bacillati; Actinomycetota; Actinomycetes. The record is from Rfam.